This 360-nucleotide unclassified non-coding RNA is filed under the name plant metagenome. RNAcentral's name for it is "partial contains 5.8S ribosomal RNA, internal transcribed spacer 2, and large subunit ribosomal RNA". The stretch from base 1 to 105 matches the Rfam family "5.8S ribosomal RNA", at positions 50 to 154 of the family's 154-position model. The record is from RNAcentral.
GAAAUGCGAUACGUAGUGUGAAUUGCAGAAUUCCGUGAAUCAUCAAAUCUUUGAACGCAUAUUGCACUCGAGGCUUCGGCCGAGAGUAUGUCUGCCUCAGCAUCGGGUUAAUACUCACUCAACACACCCUGUGUGUAUACGAGUGGACCUGGCUGUCCCAGCUAUGCCUGCUUCGGCAGAUGAAGCUGGCUGGGUUAGCUGAAGUUCAGAGGUUAACACAAGGACCCGUUAAGGGCCGCAACUGGGUAGGCAUUCUAUGCUAAUCUUAGUUGUUGGCUUGGGACUGUGUUCGACCCAAAAACAGGAAAAACCCUAUUUUCUCGAUCUGAGCUCAGGCAAGAACACCCGCUGAACUUAAGC